RNAcentral lists this transfer RNA (86 nucleotides) under Paracoccaceae bacterium. RNAcentral's name for it is "tRNA-Leu". It matches the Rfam family "tRNA". From Rfam's summary of the family: Transfer RNA (tRNA) molecules are approximately 80 nucleotides in length. Their secondary structure includes four short double-helical elements and three loops (D, anti-codon, and T loops). Further hydrogen bonds mediate the characteristic L-shaped molecular structure. tRNAs have two regions of fundamental functional importance: the anti-codon, which is responsible for specific mRNA codon recognition, and the 3' end, to which the tRNAs corresponding amino acid is attached (by aminoacyl-tRNA synthetases). tRNAs cope with the degeneracy of the genetic code in two manners: having more than one tRNA (with a specific anti-codon) for a particular amino acid; and 'wobble' base-pairing, i.e. permitting non-standard base-pairing at the 3rd anti-codon position. The record is from RNAcentral. Lineage: Bacteria; Pseudomonadati; Pseudomonadota; Alphaproteobacteria; Rhodobacterales; Paracoccaceae. RNAcentral also lists the same sequence under 2 other names.
GCCCAAGUGGCGGAAUGGUAGACGCAGGGGAUUCAAAAUCCCCCGCUUUAACGGGCGUGCCGGUUCGAGUCCGGCCUUGGGUACCA